This 252-nucleotide ribosomal RNA is filed under the name uncultured bacterium. RNAcentral's name for it is "partial 16S ribosomal RNA". It matches the Rfam family "Bacterial small subunit ribosomal RNA", at positions 524 to 776 of the family's 1533-position model. The record is from RNAcentral.
UACGGAGGAUGCGAGCGUUAUCCGGAUUUAUUGGGUUUAAAGGGUGCGUAGGCGGAGUGUCAAGUCAGCGGUAAAAUGUCCGGGCUCAACCCGGGCCGGCCGUUGAAACUGUCGGACUAGAGACGGCGAGAAGUACGCGGAAUGCGCGGUGUAGCGGUGAAAUGCAUAGAUAUCGCGCAGAACACCGAUUGCGAAGGCAGCUUACCAAUCUAUAUCUGACGUUGAGGCACGAAAGCGUGGGGAGCAAACAGG